GACGAACGCUGGCGGCGUGCUUAACACAUGCAAGUCGAACGGAAAGGCCCUGCUUUUGUGGGGUGCUCGAGUGGCGAACGGGUGAGUAACACGUGAGUAACCUGCCCUUGACUUUGGGAUAACUUCAGGAAACUGGGGCUAAUACCGGAUAGGAGCUCCUGCUGCAUGGUGGGGGUGGGAAAGUUUCGGCGGUUGGGGAUGGACUCGCGGCUUAUCAGCUUGUUGGUGGGGGAGUGGCUUACCAAGGCUUUGACGGGUAGCCGGCCUGAGAGGGUGACCGGCCACAUUGGGACUGAGAUACGGCCCAGACUCCUACGGGAGGCAGCAGUGGGGAAUAUUGCACAAUGGGCGGAAGCCUGAUGCAGCAACGCCGCGUGCGGGAUGACGGCCUUCGGGUUGUAAACCGCUUUCGCCUGUGACGAAGCGUGAGUGACGGUAAUGGGUAAAGAAGCACCGGCUAACUACGUG
RNAcentral lists this ribosomal RNA (468 nucleotides) under uncultured bacterium. RNAcentral's name for it is "partial 16S ribosomal RNA". It matches the Rfam family "Bacterial small subunit ribosomal RNA", at positions 28 to 507 of the family's 1533-position model. The record is from RNAcentral.